RNAcentral lists this microRNA (21 nucleotides) under Mus musculus (house mouse). RNAcentral's name for it is "mmu-miR-8107". The record is from miRBase by way of RNAcentral. Lineage: Eukaryota; Metazoa; Chordata; Mammalia; Rodentia; Muridae.
UGGAAACUAGUGGCUGGGACA